UAAGAGAGAAAUAAGAGACUU
Molecule: non-coding RNA, 21 nt
Filed under: Caenorhabditis elegans
Lineage: Eukaryota; Metazoa; Nematoda; Chromadorea; Rhabditida; Rhabditidae
Source: RNAcentral